Molecule: transfer RNA, 145 nt
Filed under: Candidatus Woesearchaeota archaeon
Lineage: Archaea; Nanobdellati; Candidatus Woesearchaeota
Description: tRNA-Val
Source: RNAcentral
GGACCCGUGGUCUAGCGGUUGCACUAAAAGCGGCCUAACGCCGCUUAUUGCCACAGAUGACAGCGCCCUUACAAGGCGUUAGUCCCCGGUUCAAAUGCCAGUAGCCUAUGCAAGAUAGGGCUGCUUGAAAGUCCGGGCGGGUCCA